RNAcentral lists this long non-coding RNA (7453 nucleotides) under Mytilus galloprovincialis (Mediterranean mussel). The record is from RNAcentral. Lineage: Eukaryota; Metazoa; Mollusca; Bivalvia; Mytilida; Mytilidae.
CGAAACGUUAAGAUGUUGUUUACAUUGGAGCUGCUCAUACUUUUAGUGAUGAAUGUAAAUACAAUAUCGGGUAAGUGAUACUUUGAUAUGUUUUGUACCAGAACCAAUCAGGUUUUUCAAUGUGUUAUGGUAAUCAUGGUAAUGUUUUAUGCAUAACACCAAAAUGUCGACAUUCGCCUGAAAAAAUUACCAAACCUGUAGACCGAAUUAUGUGCAAGAAAUAUAUUCAGAUACUGUGGUAAUUGCAUCUUAAUGAAAACAAUAUUAAAUAGUUUCUCUCAUAUGGUCUUUAUUUCGGAAAUACAGUUGGGUGCAGACCAAGCAUUACAUAAAGUAAACGCAAGUUAACGCGGCGUGCACAUAUUUCGUUAGUUAACUUUAAAUUUCGCGUUUACUAGUAAACGCCCGUUUACUUCAUUAACGUUAACGCGGUCAAAAUGGAAAUUUCUAAUGUCUACUCGAGUAAACGCGCGUUUACUCUGUGUCCGUUUAGUCAGUAGUAAACGGCCGUUUACUUCAGAUUUCACAAGUUUAAUUUUACGUGCACGUAAAAGUAAACGGGCGUUUACUACAGAUUUCUCAAUUGUAUUUUUACGUGCACUUGAAAGUAAACGCGCGUUUACUUUUCGCGUUAACUAAUUGUGUAUCUUAUAAAAUAAUCGUCGUGUGCAUUUGUACAUUUAUUUAUGUUGUUAAAAUGACUUAAUAUUUUACGUAUAUGUGUUUUGAACCUUAACAUUCAAAAACACUUUUUAUUAGAAAUAUAAACAUUUAUCUAGCGGAUUUUUUUACUUUAUUAUUAUAAAAGUAUAUAUAACCAGAUAUUUUUGGAAUCAGUGUCAAUUCAAUAUUCAAAUAUUAUCGGAAGUAACAUUUGUCAAACCGAAAAAAAGAUCAUUACGAAUUGUUUCGUCAAUAAAUUCUAGAUGUACUUCCUGUAACAUUUUCUGUCUAGUGUUUACUUUAAAGUCAGUAACAGAUCCACUCUGACGGAAACGUCGUAGAAAUGCACUUAUCCCCUGUCUAGAAACUUGAACAUUAUCUGAUCGUAUCAACUCAUCUCUAACUUCAGUAUGUUUUUGCCAGAUCUUCUUAUACUUAAUAUCCUCUCACGAAUGGUUUUACAGCUCCAGGACGAAUUUCCAUUUUGUUCUUAUAUGCAAUGAUUAAUUUUCAAUAAAUUAAUUAAAGAGGUGUCAUUUCAUUAAAUGCAAUCGUCAAUGUGUUGAUCGAAAAUGGACAGAUGGAUAUUUUGAUGUACCUUAUCAUGUGAUAUAUUAGGUCAGUGUAUCCAGGAUACGAGGUCAAUCUGCGUUAACGCGCGUUUACUACAAACAGUAAACGGGCGUUUACUUUUUUUUUUACAAAAAUAGAAGACACGCCUUUUUCGCGUUAACGCGAAGUAAACGCGAAAGUAAACGCCCGUUUACUCUUUACAAAAUUAGAAGACGAACGGUUUUCGCGUUAACGCGGAGGUAAACGCGAAAGUAAACGCCCGUUUACUAUUUAUGUCUACUAAAAUUUCGGAGUUAACGCAGAGUUAACACGGCGUUUACAUGAAGUGCACGCGAGUAAACGCCGCGUUAACUUUUUAGGCCCGUUUACAUGUAAUGCUUGGUCUGUACCCAACUGUAAACACAUUUUCCUUAAACCAGUUUUAUAGCUAGGUAAAUCUCUCACUUGUAUUACAGUCGCAUACAAUUCCAUUUUUAUUGACAACGAUGUGUGAACAAAACAAACAGACAUAAUAGGUACAAAUAUCAAAAUAAGAGGUACAGCAGUCACUGUUGUGAUAUAAUCCUUAUGACUUUACAAUAAACAAACAUGUAACAAAGAAACACAAGAAACUUGCUGACUGUUAACUUACUACUGUAAGAUUUUGUCUUUUAGCAUUGAAAUUUUUUAACGAAAUUUAGAUUUUUGAUUUUGAGUUUGUGCAAAUUACACGAAUAAAGUUAAUGAUCUAUCUAGUAGAUCUUUAAAAUUCAUUUCAGGGAUUUUGUAAAAUCCCUAGUCAAAAUUUGGGAUGUUAUAAAAUCAGUGGCCAGUUAAUUGAGUUUUAGAAAUUUUAGAAAAGGUUCUGUACAGAUAACGCUAAUUUACAUUACGUUACUUUAUAUAUCUGAAGUAGUUGAUAUCACGUUAUAUGAGAUUUGGACAAGACCUUCGUAGCUGUGACUGAUAUCAAUGACAUCAAGUCAUACAUAUGAGGAGUUUUGAACUGUCACUUGUAACCAUAUCCCAUUAAUUGUAUUCUAUAUGUAAUCUACUUAAUCAGAAGUAUAUUUAUAAUGAACAUAAAAAUGUACUACAUUGAAAUUUUGUCAAAUAUAUCUUUCAUAGGAAUUGUUAACAGUACUUGUACUUUCGAAAAUGGUAAGUGCGGUUGGUCGGUCAAUGGUUUGGAUAGAUACACGUGGAAACGUCAACGUGGAAACGCUCGUCAUUUAUCUACAGGACCAGACAAAGAUCACACAACUGCAUCUGGUAAAGUUGGAAUGCAAAACAUUAUUCAUAUGAUCUGCUCUUUAUUCGGGUUAUUUUCUCGUUGACACAUUCCUCAUUUCCAUUCUAAUUCUUAUAAAAAAAAAAAACAACAAACAAACAAACAAAAAUUUAACAGAGAAGCAUUCACCUGGAAUUACAAGUAAAAUCAAAGCCUUUAAAUUCUAAUGGUUAAUACAUGUUGCCUUGAAGAAGCUAAAACUAUACGUAUACAAAUGCAUAUCUACUAAAAAGUAUGAAAUGCUUCGCAGCAUCAUGCCAUACUUUAGCUUAAAUAUUGUUUGUGCAUCUUGUAAGGGAGAAAUUGAUUUAGUUUUGUUUGCAUUAGCAUUUAUUAAUCAUGUUUUUCCAUCUUCGUAUAUUUCUCAGAGAAUUUAGUUCAUAUAACUCUCAAAAUGUCUUUCGCAUAACAUGAGACCUAACAGGUUUCAUGCAUGGAAAGGAAAGAUGAGCGCUAUCCGUUCUGAAAGUGUGUGUAUGGCUAGACCUUAAAGGGGAAACUACUAUUAUAUUAGUUUGAAUGUACCUCUGGUAUCUUUCGCCCUUCUUUUAUAAAUAUCCUACCACAAUUAUUUUCAUUAGACUAACACACUUUUCAUAACAUAUACAAUUUUAUACAUUGUACAACUAUAAGCAUUGUGGUUAUACUAGAUUUCGUGCCUUUUAAAGAAUCUAAUAAGUCUAUGCAUGAAAGAGGGGCAAAACAUAUCAGAAGGACAGUCAAACUCAUAGAUCGAAAGUAAACUGACAACGCCAUAACUAAAAAAUAAAAAGACAAACAGACAAACCCCACCAAAAACAGGGGGUGAUCACAGGUACUCCGGAACUUUAAGCAUUAUUUAGAAUGAGUAUGUAAUAAAAAAUAAAAUGCCACAAUUAAAAUUAUAAAUAGAAAUUGAGAAAUGAAGACCAACCAAGUACUUUCAGAUCUAUUCCUAGUGUCUUUUUUGAUGGGAUGUACAAGUACCCGUCCACGUCCACUUGAAUUUUUGUCAAUCUGAUGAGUUCAGCCUUUUUCAACUGACUUUUAUAGUUCGUUCUUAUGUUGUACAUUUAUACCAAUGUCCCAGGUUAGGGGAGGGUUGGGAUCCCGUUAACAUGUUUAACCCGCCACAUUAUGUAUGAUGAUAAUUAGCAAAAUAUAGCAAGAUUUAAUAGAAGCAACCAUGGGUUAUAGUGUCAAGGAGGACAUUUAUAAAACACUGUAUCGGUAGAGAUUACAUGUGACCAUUUGGCAAAUUUGUUAGACAGCAUGACGUGAACACUAAGAAUCGAAGAAAGCCUUUUUUUAUAUAACUUAUGCAAAACAUUGGGGUUGUUUAAAAUUUACACCAGUCCAGGCCCUUUUGUUUUCAACAUAAUUGAUAUUACAAAUAAUUAACAAGUUCCGGUCGAAUCUGUUUGUCACAUGUAUGCAUGUCUUGUAUCUACCUCUUUUAAUAGAAGUACGCCCAUGCUUAUGGCACACAUUGGAGUAGUUUACUAAUUUGCAUAGCGGCCGUUGUGCUUUAUCAAGACGACAGCCAUGACAAUAGUAUUAUUCAUGGCCCUUAAAUAUAAAUUCCAAAAUGUUAAUUAUUAUGUCAUUGUAUGUGGAAUUAAAAGUUGUUCUCAUAUAGGUGAAGUGUACACGUCUUUUUGCUUCUGUUCGUGUCCAAAUGAUCGUUCAUGAUUUUAGUUAAUUUACAAACUUUCGGUCUUUUUCUUUGAAAAUCGAAAGGGAAACCGAAGUAUAAUUCCAUAAUAAAAUAACGAAAAAUCGUAAAAAGCAAGAUUCAAAAUAGAAAAAAGUAUCAGAUAAAAUUAACAGCAUAUAGGGAUAACUUUCAUCUUUACCGGCUUUCUUAAGUUUUCGGUCUAAUUCUUUUAAAAACAUGAUGAUUGUAUCCUUCCCAAGACGGAAAAGGACUUGAUUAUCCGCAAAUUUGUUAUAAUAUUUAUUUUCAAUCUACAACUAAGGAACGUAUUUUAUUCAAAAGGGCCAAAAUAUCGUGGUGCAAAUCAUAUGAAAAAAGUGACUUUAAUUUUGUCUUAUGGGGUUAUUUUACUACAUUUAUGUAUAAUGGUGUUAAGGAGAACAUUUAACACUCUGUAUUUGUACAGAUUAAAUAUGACCAUUUGCCCACUCAGUUUUCAAGCCUGACAAUUAAUACUACCAAAACAGUUACAACUGAACACAAAGACACUUUUACAAUUCUUAAAUUAAAACAAUGGCAUUUUUAAGCCCCUAAUUGAUAAAUAUUGAAAAGCAAAAAUAAUCAUUGAUAAAACGUUUUCAGCAAACAAUUACAGGUGAGACAUUCAGACCCUGAAGUGCAUCUUGUUUAGUUAUUGGUGUUGUUUUGUACGCUUUUUAGGCGUUUCUAUUUUUUAUUUAUUGCGUUCAUGUACCAUUACUCGUACCAAUCCAGCGCACUCGUUGUAAAAGUGGACAAGCUUGGUUACAUUUUGUUUAAGUAGUUUCAGAGGAGAAGAUUUUUGUACAAGAUUACAAAAAAUUAAGAAAAAAUGGUAAAAUUGACUAUAAAGGACAAUAACUCCUGAAGGGGUCAACUGACCAUUUUGGUCAUUUGACUUAUCUGUAGAUCUUAAUUUGCUGAACAUUAUUGCUGUAAACAGUUUAUCUCAAUCUAUAAUUAUAUUCAAGAUAUUUAAAAAUAACAAAAAAACAGCACAAUUUCCGUAUAAUUGCCAAUUAAGGGGUAUCAAACAAACAACAGGUUGUCCGAUUUAUCUGAAAAUUUCAGGGCAGAUAAAUCUUGACUUGAUAAACAAUUUUAACUCAUGUCAUAUUUGCUCCAAACGAUUUGGUUCCAGAGUUAUAAGCCAAAAUCUAUAUUUUACCCCUAUGUUCUAUUUCUAGCCAUUGCAGUCAUCUUGGUUGGCUUGUGGGGUCAACGAACACAUUUUUGAAACUACAUACUCUAAUGAUGAUUGUGUACAAGUUUCGUAUAAUUUGCCUUAGUAGUUUCAGAGUAGAAGAUUUUUGUAAAAGAUUACAAAAAUUUACAAAAAAAUGUUAAAAAUUGACUAUAAAGGGCAAUAACUCUUUAAGGGGUCAAUUGACCAUUUUGAUCAUGUUUACUUAUUUGUAGAUCUCACUUUGCUGAACAUUAUUGCUGUUCACAGUUUACCUCUAUGUUAUGAUAAUAUUCAAGAUAAAACCAAAAACAGCAAAAUUUCCUUAAAAUAACUAAUUUAGGGUCAGCAACCCAACAACGGGUUCUCCGAUUCAUCUGAAAUUUCAGAGCAAAUACAUCUUGACCUUAUGAACAGUUGUACCACUGUCAUAUUUGCUCUAAAUGCUUUAGUUUCAGAUAUAUAAGCCAAAAUCUACAUAUUACCCUAUAUGUUCUAUUUUUAGCCAUGGCGGCCAUCUUAGUUGGCUUGCCUGUUCAACGGACACAAUUUGUUAUCUACAUUCCCUAAUGAUGUUUGUGGACAAGUUUGGUUAAAUUUGCCUUUUUAGUUUCAGAGGAGAAGAUUUUUGUAAAAAAAAUAGUUACGAAAAAUUGUUAAAAAUUGACUAUUAAGGACAAUAACUCCUUAAUGGAUCAAUUGACCAUGUUGAUCAUGUUAUUUAUGUGUAGAUCUUACUUUGCUGAACAUUAUUGCUGUUCACAGUUUACCUCUAUGGAUGAUAAUAUUCAAGAUAAUUACCAAUUUAGGGGCUGCAACCCUAAAGGGUUCUCCGUUUCAUUUGAAAAUUUCAGAGCAGAUAAAUCUUGACCUGAUAAACAAGUUUAUCACUUUUCAGAUUUGCUCUAAAUGCUUUGGUUCAGAGAUAUAAGCCAAAAUCAACAUUUUACCCCUAUGUUCUAUUUUUAGCCAUUGCAGCCAUCUUGGUUGGUUGACCGGGUCACCGGACACAUUUUCUGAACUAAAUACCCCAAUGAUGAUUGUGACCAAGUUUGGUUUAAUUUGGCCCAGUAGUUUCAGAGGAGGUGAUCUUUGUAAAGGUUAACGACGACGGACGACGACGACGACGAUGACGACGACGACGAUGACGACGACGACGAUGACGACGAUGACGACGACGACGACGACGGACGACGGACGCAAAGUGAUGAGAAAAGCUCACUUGACGUCAAGUGAGCUGAAAUGCAUCUUUCUUUGUUAAACUUGUGUUUAGACGAAUUAUAUAUGUAUAUAAAUAUACAGGUGUAUUUACAACAGUCAUUCCCGAGAAAACGCAUCAAUUAAAUAACCUAUUGAUGUCUCAUUUCGAAUAUUGUGUUUUAUGUUAUUAAACACCAUUCAAAAGAACGAAUGUGAAUACAACCAAUCUGUACAAUGCAAAGCCAUAGGAAAUACAAAAUAAUAAAAGAAUCAGUUUCGACUAUUAGAACUUAUCCAAAUAUCUGCAUUAGGUACGAUAUUAUGUCAAAUAAUUCAUCAACCGGGUCUCUUAUACCAAAGUUGAUUGUAAAAUUAAUUCAAUACGGAUUCUGAUUGUGCGUGUAAGGUUUCACCUCCUUACUGUAAGUCAUUUAAUUAAAUACCUUAUUUAUUUUAUAUAAUAUUUUUAUAUUUCAUAUUUAUAUAUAUAUGUCCGCUUUAGUAUUUUCCUCGACUUUAUACGCAAACCAAUAUAUUAUAGAAAAUGGUUACUAUUUUUGCACGGUAUCUAUAAGUCAGUCGAAAGAAAACGAUGUUAGUGAUCUACAUUCUGGUUUGAUAAACCCGAGUCCAAAGAAGUGUUUGACUUUUUGGUAUCACAUGAAUGGGAGACAUAUCAACACUCUAAAAGUAUUUCAAGUUAAAAAUACAAGUUUAAUUCUACUAUGGAGGAAGUCAGGUAACCAAGGGAACACAUGGCAUUUUCAGUUCCUGUCAUUGGAUGAUACCGGGCCAUAUAAAAUUCUGUUCAGAGCAACACGUGGUAAUGGAUAUAAAAGUACAAUCGCUGUUGACGAUAUUUGUAUUUCCAACACUGUCUGCAAGAAGG